RNAcentral lists this ribosomal RNA (401 nucleotides) under uncultured bacterium. Its description in RNAcentral is "bacterial SSU rRNA". It matches the Rfam family "Bacterial small subunit ribosomal RNA", at positions 28 to 416 of the family's 1533-position model. The record is from RNAcentral.
GACGAAUGCUGGCGGCGUGGAUUAGGCAUGCAAGUCGAACGGGUUGGGUAGCAAUACUCAAUCAGUGGCGAAAGGGUGAGUAACACGUGAGUAAUCUGCCCUUAGGAUUGGGAUAACCUCGCGAAAGCGAGGCUAAUACCGAGUGUGACCGUGUUGUCUUCGGACGAUACGGUAGAAAGGAUGGCCUCUAUUUAUAAGCUAUCGCCUUUGGAUGAGCUCGCGGUAUANAGCUAGUUGGUAGGUAAUGGCCUACCAAGGCUAUGAUGUAUAGCUGGCCUGAGAGGGUGGUCAGCCACACUGGGACUGAGACACGGCCCAGACUCCUACGGGAGGCAGCAGUGGGGAAUUUUGGACAAGUGGGGCAACCCUGAUCCAGCCAUGCCGCGUGCGGGAAGAAGGCC